This 484-nucleotide ribosomal RNA is filed under the name uncultured bacterium. Its description in RNAcentral is "partial 16S ribosomal RNA". It matches the Rfam family "Bacterial small subunit ribosomal RNA", at positions 29 to 507 of the family's 1533-position model. The record is from RNAcentral.
AUUGAACGCUGGCGGCAUGCUUUACACAUGCUAGUCGAACGGCAGCGCGGGCUUCGGCCUGGCGGCGAGUGGCGAACGGGUGAGUAAUACAUCGGAACGUGCCCAGUAGUGGGGGAUAGCUCGGCGAAAGCCGGAUUAAUACCGCAUACGACCUGAGGGUGAAAGCGGGGGAUCUUCGGACCUCGCGCUAUUGGAGCGGCCGAUGGCAGAUUAGCUAGUUGGUGGGGUAAAGGCCUACCAAGGCGACGAUCUGUAGCUGGUCUGAGAGGACGACCAGCCACACUGGGACUGAGACACGGCCCAGACUCCUACGGGAGGCAGCAGUGGGGAAUUUUGGACAAUGGGCGAAAGCCUGAUCCAGCAAUGCCGCGUGUGUGAUGAAGGCCUUCGGGUUGUAAAGCACUUUUGGCGGGAACGAAAAGGACUGUGCCAAUACCACGGUUCGAUGACGGUACCUGCAGAAUAAGCACCGGCUAACUACGUG